GACGAACGCUGGCGGCGCGCCUAACACAUGCAAGUCGAACGAGAGAGGAAGAGCUUGCUUUUCCGAUCGAGUGGCGAACGGGUGAGUAACGCGUGAGGAACCUGCCUCAAAGAGGGGGACAACAGUUGGAAACGACUGCUAAUACCGCAUAAGCCCACGGCUCGGCAUCGAGCAGAGGGAAAAGGAGCAAUCCGCUUUGAGAUGGCCUCGCGUCCGAUUAGCUAGUUGGUGAGGUAACGGCCCACCAAGGCGACGAUCGGUAGCCGGACUGAGAGGUUGGACGGCCAAAUUGGGACUAGGACACGGCCCAGACUCCUACGGGAGGCAGCAGUGGGGAAUGUUGCACAAUGGGGGAAACCCUGAUGCAGCGACGCCGCGUGGAGGAAGAAGGUCUUCGGAUUGUAAACUCCUGUUGUUGAGGAAGAUAAUGACGGUACUCAACAAGGAAGUGACGGCUAACUACGUGCCAGCAGCCGCCGUAA
RNAcentral lists this ribosomal RNA (482 nucleotides) under uncultured bacterium. Its description in RNAcentral is "partial 16S ribosomal RNA". It matches the Rfam family "Bacterial small subunit ribosomal RNA", at positions 28 to 523 of the family's 1533-position model. The record is from RNAcentral.